RNAcentral lists this ribosomal RNA (778 nucleotides) under uncultured Neocallimastigales. Its description in RNAcentral is "partial large subunit ribosomal RNA". It matches the Rfam family "Eukaryotic large subunit ribosomal RNA", at positions 26 to 641 of the family's 3401-position model. Lineage: Eukaryota; Fungi; Neocallimastigomycota; Neocallimastigomycetes; Neocallimastigales. The record is from RNAcentral.
CGUCUAUAUACGUAUAGCAUAUCAAUAAGCGGAGGAAAAGAAACUAACUAGGAUUCCCUCAGUAACGGCGAGUGAAGCGGGAAGAGCUCAAAUUUGAAAUCUUCAAGGUUCUACCUUGACGAAUUGUAGUUUAAAGAAGUGUUUUCUGUUGGAGUUUUGGUAAAAGUUCUUUGGAAUAGGACAUCAUAGAGGGUGAGAAUCCCGUAUUUGACCAUUAUUUCCAACUUUGUGAUACACUUUCAAAGAGUCGGAUUGUUUGGGAAUGCAGUCCAAAAUGGGUGGUAAAUUUCAUCUAAAGCUAAAUACUGGCGAGAGACCGAUAGCGAACAAGUACCGUGAGGGAAAGAUGAAAAGAACUUUGAAAAGAGAGUUAAACAGUACGUGAAAUUGUCAAAAGGGAAGCGUUUGACAUCAGUGUUGUUUUUUCCGAAAAUCAAUUAACUAAUGAUUUUAAUUUUAGAGUAGUUAUGACUUCAUCGGCUUGCUUCUUUCCUUACGAAACUUUCUUAAUGCACUUUUCGGUUAACAAGUCAACAUCAAUUUCUUUUGUUGUAAAAGGGUAUGAGGAAGGUGGCUUUCUUUUCGGAGAAAGUGUUUAUAGCCUUUGAUCUCUGCAACCGGAGAGACUGAGGUCUGCAGCGUAGACUCUUCGGGGUUAGAUACAUUUGUGCUAAGCUAUAGCUUUUUAUAGACAACUUGUUGACUAUAUUUAGUCUUGUGGCUUACUCGCUUAUGCUAUUUUACCUACGCUUAGGAUGUUGACGAGACUGUCGAUCUC